Molecule: ribosomal RNA, 476 nt
Filed under: uncultured bacterium
Lineage: Bacteria
Description: partial 16S ribosomal RNA
Rfam family: Bacterial small subunit ribosomal RNA
Source: RNAcentral
GAUGAACGCUGGCGGCGUGCCUAACACAUGCAAGUCGAACGAAGCACCUUACCUGAUUCUUCGGAUGAAAGUUUGGUGACUGAGUGGCGGACGGGUGAGUAACGCGUGGGUAACCUGCCCUGUACAGGGGGAUAACAGCUGGAAACGGCUGCUAAUACCGCAUAAGCGCACGAGGAGACAUCUCCUUGUGUGAAAAACUCCGGUGGUACAGGAUGGGCCCGCGUCUGAUUAGCUGGUUGGCAGGGUAACGGCCUACCAAGGCAACUAGCAGUAGCCGGACUGAGAGGGUGAACGGCCACAUUGGAACUGAGACACGGUCCAAACGCCGACGGGCGGCAGCAGUGGGGACUAUUGCACAAUGGGGGAAACCCUGAUGCAGCAACGCCGCGUGAGUGAAGAAGUAUUUCGGUAUGUAAAGCUCUAUCAGCAGGGAAGAUAAUGACGGUACCGGACUAAGAAGCUCCGGCUAAAUACGG